UUCAAUGGAGAGUUUGAUCCUGGCUCAGGACGAACGCUGGCGGCGUGCUUUAUACAUGCAAGUCGAACGAUGAAGUUCCUUCGGGAAUGGAUUAGUGGCGAACGGGUGAGGAACACGUGAGAA
Molecule: ribosomal RNA, 123 nt
Filed under: Actinomycetota bacterium
Lineage: Bacteria; Bacillati; Actinomycetota
Description: Actinobacteria bacterium (freshwater metagenome) partial 16S ribosomal RNA
Rfam family: Bacterial small subunit ribosomal RNA
Source: RNAcentral